Molecule: ribosomal RNA, 757 nt
Filed under: Bacillus pumilus
Lineage: Bacteria; Bacillati; Bacillota; Bacilli; Caryophanales; Bacillaceae
Description: bacterial SSU rRNA
Rfam family: Bacterial small subunit ribosomal RNA
Source: RNAcentral
GGCUCGCAGGCGGUUUCUUAAGUCUGAUGUGAAAGCCCCCGGCUCAACCGGGGAGGGUCAUUGGAAACUGGGAAACUUGAGUGCAGAAGAGGAGAGUGGAAUUCCACGUGUAGCGGUGAAAUGCGUAGAGAUGUGGAGGAACACCAGUGGCGAAGGCGACUCUCUGGUCUGUAACUGACGCUGAGGAGCGAAAGCGUGGGGAGCGAACAGGAUUAGAUACCCUGGUAGUCCACGCCGUAAACGAUGAGUGCUAAGUGUUAGGGGGUUUCCGCCCCUUAGUGCUGCAGCUAACGCAUUAAGCACUCCGCCUGGGGAGUACGGUCGCAAGACUGAAACUCAAAGGAAUUGACGGGGGCCCGCACAAGCGGUGGAGCAUGUGGUUUAAUUCGAAGCAACGCGAAGAACCUUACCAGGUCUUGACAUCCUCUGACAACCCUAGAGAUAGGGCUUUCCCUUCGGGGACAGAGUGACAGGUGGUGCAUGGUUGUCGUCAGCUCGUGUCGUGAGAUGUUGGGUUAAGUCCCGCAACGAGCGCAACCCUUGAUCUUAGUUGCCAGCAUUCAGUUGGGCACUCUAAGGUGACUGCCGGUGACAAACCGGAGGAAGGUGGGGAUGACGUCAAAUCAUCAUGCCCCUUAUGACCUGGGCUACACACGUGCUACAAUGGACAGAACAAAGGGCUGCAAGACCGCAAGGUUUAGCCAAUCCCAUAAAUCUGUUCUCAGUUCGGAUCGCAGUCUGCAACUCGACUGCGUGA